This 116-nucleotide ribosomal RNA is filed under the name uncultured eukaryote. Its description in RNAcentral is "partial small subunit ribosomal RNA". It matches the Rfam family "Bacterial small subunit ribosomal RNA", at positions 1410 to 1525 of the family's 1533-position model. The record is from RNAcentral.
GUUGGUUCUACCCGAAGGCGUUGCGCCGACCGCAAGGAGGCAGGCGACCACGGUAGUGUCAGCGACUGGGGUGAAGUCGUAACAAGGUAGCCGUAGGUGAACCUGCAGAAGGAUCA